CUUGGACCUCAGAUCAGGCGAGGCGACCCGCCGAANUUAAGCAUAUCAAUAAGCGGAGGAAAAGAAACUAAC
This 72-nucleotide ribosomal RNA is filed under the name Pachymatisma normani. RNAcentral's name for it is "partial 28S ribosomal RNA". It matches the Rfam family "Eukaryotic large subunit ribosomal RNA", at positions 1 to 69 of the family's 3401-position model. Lineage: Eukaryota; Metazoa; Porifera; Demospongiae; Tetractinellida; Geodiidae. The record is from RNAcentral.